GAGAGUAAAACAGUACGUGAAAUUGUUGAAAGGGAAACGAUUGAAGUCAGUCGUGCCGGCGCGAAAUCAGCUUGACCGGUAGGAGGUCACAGGCUGUGGCGAGCCUCAAAACCGCCACGACUUGUGCUCUUCUGCCGGCCUCGUGCACUUUGGGUGUACUUGCCCGUAUGGUUGGUUAACAUCAAUUUUGGUGGUCAUAAAAUGACUGGAGGAAUGUAGCUUCGAUCUCGUAUUGAAGUGUUAUAGCCUUCGGUAGAUGUGAUGAUCGAGAUUGAGGAUUGCAACGGAUACCCUUCGGGGCUACCUGUCUGAUCUCUGAUCGUUGCUCUGGUGCCGAAAGCUUGCUUACGGUUAUCAAAGUCGAUGGUCAAUAGGUUAGAACGGGUUAAAUUCGUUAAGGAUGUUGACGUAAUGGCUUUAAACGA
RNAcentral lists this ribosomal RNA (425 nucleotides) under uncultured Glomeraceae. Its description in RNAcentral is "partial 28S ribosomal RNA". Lineage: Eukaryota; Fungi; Glomeromycota; Glomeromycetes; Glomerales; Glomeraceae. The record is from RNAcentral.